This 164-nucleotide small nuclear RNA is filed under the name Pongo abelii (Sumatran orangutan). RNAcentral describes it as "U1 spliceosomal RNA (ENSPPYG00000034230.1)". It matches the Rfam family "U1 spliceosomal RNA". From Rfam's summary of the family: U1 is a small nuclear RNA (snRNA) component of the spliceosome (involved in pre-mRNA splicing). Lineage: Eukaryota; Metazoa; Chordata; Mammalia; Primates; Hominidae. The record is from Rfam by way of RNAcentral.
AUACUUACCUGGCAGGGGAGAUACCAUGAUCACGAAGGUGGUUUUCCUAGGGCGAGGCUUAUCCAUUGCACUCCGGAUGUGCUGACUCCUGCGAUUUCCCCAAAUGUGGGAAACUCGACUGCAUAAUUUGUGGUAGUGGGGGACUGCGUUCGCGCUUUCCCCUG